GACAUUUCAAAGUUUGAACAAACUCGCCAACAAGUUCAAUAUCUUGUGCUUCUUGUAAGUAUGGUAAGUAAUACAUAAGAAACCUCCGCUCGAUGUCAUAGGACGUCAACUUUGGUUUUAUGGUGCACCACGACGUGUUUGUGAAUAUUCUGUGUGUUACGAAAUAGCACUUCUCUUGAAAUGCUUUCAAUGAUGUAAGUUGUGACUGUCUCUAUGUUAUGCACAGAAUUUUAGAGAAAGUAAAAUCCCUACCUCACGUUCCAACGACUCAACUGAUGUAGUGCACAUGUUUUCAACGGCCUCUUCACAUAUGCCUUCAACCUUCAUCUCUGUUCCGCGAAAGAAGAAAGACCAAAUCAUGACUGAAUUGAGCAGAUCAUAGGACAAUGGAGUCGUCUUACUAAUGCCUAUGUAGUCAUAUAAGUGCCAUCGAGGUGCAGCAGAUCUUAUACAAUUUUCAAGUCCCCCAAUAUCGAAUGACAUUCUUUUCAGAGCGUACAAAGCUUCGUUUGAGUACAGAAUAUCUUCAGGUAACAUUGAAGCAUCGAAUGUUUUGUGCAUUUGUAACCAAUGUGUAGCAACACGUUUAGUUGCCUGCAAACAAUACUCUCUUGUUCUACCCUGUGCAUUAAUCGAAAAGAAAUAAAAGGACACUAAAAUGUCGCUCCCCCACUCGGAAAAAAACGUGU
RNAcentral lists this long non-coding RNA (689 nucleotides) under Ostreococcus sp. 'lucimarinus'. RNAcentral describes it as "long non-coding RNA (OLUC_LNC000008)". The record is from RNAcentral. Lineage: Eukaryota; Viridiplantae; Chlorophyta; Mamiellophyceae; Mamiellales; Bathycoccaceae.